AGCAGCCGCGGUAAUUCCAGCUCCAAUAGCGUAUAUUAAAGUUGUUGCAGUUAAAAAGCUCGUAGUUGAAUUUCGGGAUUGGCGCAUCGGUCAUGCCUUCCGACUUACGGAGUUAUGAACUGGUGCAGUCAAUUUCUCACCUUCUGGAGAACCGCGAUGUCCUUAAUUGGGUGCCGCGGGGAACCAGGACCUUUACUUUGAAAAAAUUAGAGUGUUUAAAGCAGGCAUUUUUGCUUGAAUACAUUAGCAUGGAAUAAUAAAAUAGGACGGCAUGGUUCUAUUUUGUUGGUUUCUAGGACCACCGUAAUGAUUAAUAGGGAUAGUUGGGGGCAUUAGUAUUCAAUUGUCAGAGGUGAAAUUCUUGGAUUUAUUGAAGACUAACUACUGCGAAAGCAUUUGCCAAGGAUGUUUUCAUUAAUCAAGAACGAAAGUUAGGGGAUCGAAGACGAUCAGAUACCGUCGUAGUCUUAACCAUAAACUAUGCCGACUAGGAAUCAGACGAUGUUAAUUUUUUAAUGACUCGUUUGGCACCUUACG
Molecule: ribosomal RNA, 537 nt
Filed under: uncultured Glomus
Lineage: Eukaryota; Fungi; Glomeromycota; Glomeromycetes; Glomerales; Glomeraceae
Description: SSU rRNA
Rfam family: Eukaryotic small subunit ribosomal RNA
Source: RNAcentral